RNAcentral lists this ribosomal RNA (1025 nucleotides) under uncultured Syntrophobacter sp. Its description in RNAcentral is "bacterial SSU rRNA". It matches the Rfam family "Bacterial small subunit ribosomal RNA", at positions 104 to 1095 of the family's 1533-position model. Lineage: Bacteria; Pseudomonadati; Thermodesulfobacteriota; Syntrophobacteria; Syntrophobacterales; Syntrophobacteraceae. The record is from RNAcentral.
GGGUGAGUAAAAUGUGGGUAAUCUGUCUUCCAGAGGGGGAUAACCCGGCGAAAGCUGGGCUAAAACCGCGUAACGUUUAGAUUGCCAAGGUGAUUUAAAUCAAAACAUGGCCUCUAUUAAUAAGCCAUGGCUGGGAGGUGAGCCCACAUCCUAUCACGCUUGUUGGUGGGGUAAAGGCCUACCAAGGCGACGACGGGUAGCCGGCCUGAGAGGGUGUCCGGCCACACUGGAACUGAGACACGGUCCAGACUCCUACGGGAGGCAGCAGUGGGGAAUUUUUCGCAAUGGGCGCAAGCCUGACGAAGCAACGCCGCGUAGAGGAUGAAGGCCCUCGCGGUCGUAAACUCUUGUCUAGCGGGACGAAAGUUCACAAGAAGAAUAAGCUUGUGGAUUGACUGUACCUCUGGAGGAAGCUCCGGCCAACUCCGUGCCAGCAGCCGCGGUAAUACGGAGGGAGCAAGCGUUACUCGGAAUUACUGGGCGUAAAGGGCGCGUAGGCGUUCUAUCAAGUCUUGUGUGAAAGCCCCGGGCUUAACCUGGGAAGUGCACAAGAUACUGAAUGAAUAGAGUUCCGGAGAGGAAGAUGGAAUUCCCGGUGUAGCGGUGAAAUGCGUAGAUAUCGGGAGGAACACCAGUGGCGAAGGCGAUCUUCUGGACGGAUACUGACGCUGAGGCGCGAAAGCUAGGGGAGCAAACAGGAUUAGAUACCCUGGUAGUCCUAGCCGUAAACAAUGUGCACUUGGUGUAAGCCGGUUUUCGGUUUGUGCCGAAGUUAACGCGAUAAGUGCACCGCCUGGGGAGUACGGUCGCAAGUCUGAAACUCAAAGGAAUUGACGGGGGCCCGCACAAGCGGUGGAGCAUGUGGUUCAAUUCGAUACAACGCGAAGAACCUUACCUGGGUUUGAACUGCAACUGAAGUAUUCAGAGAUGGAUACGGCUAGCAAUAGACAGGUUGUAGAGGUGCUGCAUGGCUGUCGUCAGCUUCCGUGUCGUGAAGAUGUUUGGGUUUUAAGUCCCGCAAACGA